This 1335-nucleotide ribosomal RNA is filed under the name uncultured bacterium. Its description in RNAcentral is "bacterial SSU rRNA". It matches the Rfam family "Bacterial small subunit ribosomal RNA", at positions 28 to 1387 of the family's 1533-position model. The record is from RNAcentral.
GAUGAACGCUGGCGGCGCGCCUAACACAUGCAAGUCGAACGGCACCCCUCUCCGGAGGGAAGCGAGUGGCGAACGGCUGAGUAACACGUGGAGAACCUGCCCCCUCCCCCGGGAUAGCCGCCCGAAAGGACGGGUAAUACCGGAUACCCCGGGGUGCCGCAUGGCACCCCGGCUAAAGCCCCGACGGGAGGGGAUGGCUCCGCGGCCCAUCAGGUAGACGGCGGGGUGACGGCCCACCGUGCCGACAACGGGUAGCCGGGUUGAGAGACCGACCGGCCAGAUUGGGACUGAGACACGGCCCAGACUCCUACGGGAGGCAGCAGUGGGGAAUCUUGCGCAAUGGGGGGGAACCCUGACGCAGCGACGCCCGCGUGCGGGACGGAGGCCUUCGGGUCGUAAACCGCUUUCAGCAGGGAAGAGUCAAGACUGUACCUGCAGAAGAAGCCCCGGCUAACUACGUGCCAGCAGCCGCGGUAAUACGUAGGGGGCGAGCGUUAUCCGGAUUCAUUGGGCGUAAAGCGCGCGUAGGCGGCCCGGCAGGCCGGGGGUCGAAGCGGGGGGCUCAACCCCCCGAAGCCCCCGGAACCUCCGCGGCUUGGGUCCGGUAGGGGAGGGUGGAACACCCGGUGUAGCGGUGGAAUGCGCAGAUAUCGGGUGGAACACCGGUGGCGAAGGCGGCCCUCUGGGCCGAGACCGACGCUGAGGCGCGAAAGCUGGGGGAGCGAACAGGAUUAGAUACCCUGGUAGUCCCAGCCGUAAACGAUGGACGCUAGGUGGGGGGGGACGAUCCCCCCGUGCCGCAGCCAACGCAUUAAGCGUCCCGCCUGGGGAGUACGGCCGCAAGGCUAAAACUCAAAGGAAUUGACGGGGGCCCGCACAAGCAGCGGAGCAUGUGGCUUAAUUUGAAGCAACGCGAAGAACCUUACCAGGGCUUGACAUAUGGGUGAAGCGGGGGAGACCCCGCGGCCGAGAGGAGCCCAUACAGGUGGUGCAUGGCUGUCGUCAGCUCGUGUCGUGAGAUGUUGGGUUAAGUCCCGCAACGAGCGCAACCCCCGCCGCGUGUUGCCAUCGGGUGAUGCCGGGAACCCACGCGGGACCGCCGCCGUCAAGGCGGAGGAGGGCGGGGAGGACGUCAAGUCAUCAUGCCCCUUAUGCCCUGGGCUGCACACGUGCUACAAUGGCCGGUACAGAGGGAUGCCACCCCGCGAGGGGGAGCGGAUCCCGGAAAGCCGGCCCCAGUUCGGAUUGGGGGCUGCAACCCGCCCCCACGAAGUCGGAGUUGCUAGUAAUCGCGGAUCAGCAUGCCGCGGUGAAUGAGUUCCCGGGCCUUGUACA